RNAcentral lists this ribosomal RNA (988 nucleotides) under Bacillus sp. DT8. Its description in RNAcentral is "bacterial SSU rRNA". It matches the Rfam family "Bacterial small subunit ribosomal RNA", at positions 8 to 973 of the family's 1533-position model. The record is from RNAcentral. Lineage: Bacteria; Bacillati; Bacillota; Bacilli; Caryophanales; Bacillaceae.
AGAGUUUGAUCCUGGCUCAGGAUGAACGCUGGCGGCGUGCCUAAUACAUGCAAGUCGAGCGAAUGGAUUAAGAGCUUGCUCUUAUGAAGUUAGCGGCGGACGGGUGAGUAACACGUGGGUAACCUGCCCAUAAGACUGGGAUAACUCCGGGAAACCGGGGCUAAUACCGGAUAACAUUUUGAACCGCAUGGUUCGAAAUUGAAAGGCGGCUUCGGCUGUCACUUAUGGAUGGACCCGCGUCGCAUUAGCUAGUUGGUGAGGUAACGGCUCACCAAGGCAACGAUGCGUAGCCGACCUGAGAGGGUGAUCGGCCACACUGGGACUGAGACACGGCCCAGACUCCUACGGGAGGCAGCAGUAGGGAAUCUUCCGCAAUGGACGAAAGUCUGACGGAGCAACGCCGCGUGAGUGAUGAAGGCUUUCGGGUCGUAAAACUCUGUUGUUAGGGAAGAACAAGUGCUAGUUGAAUAAGCUGGCACCUUGACGGUACCUAACCAGAAAGCCACGGCUAACUACGUGCCAGCAGCCGCGGUAAUACGUAGGUGGCAAGCGUUAUCCGGAAUUAUUGGGCGUAAAGCGCGCGCAGGUGGUUUCUUAAGUCUGAUGUGAAAGCCCACGGCUCAACCGUGGAGGGUCAUUGGAAACUGGGAGACUUGAGUGCAGAAGAGGAAAGUGGAAUUCCAUGUGUAGCGGUGAAACGCGUAGAGAUAUGGAGGAACACCAGUGGCGAAGGCGACUUUCUGGUCUGUAACUGACACUGAGGCGCGAAAGCGUGGGGGAGCAAACAGGAUUAGAUACCCUGGUAGUCCACGCCGUAAACGAUGAGUGCUAAGUGUUAGAGGGUUUCCGCCCUUUAGUGCUGAAGUUAACGCAUUAAGCACUCCGCCUGGGGAGUACGGCCGCAAGGCUGAAACUCAAAGGAAUUGACGGGGGCCCGCACAAGCGGUGGAGCAUGUUGGUUUAAUUCGAAGCAACGCGAAGAACCUUA